GACAGAGGGUGCAAACGUUGCUCGGAUUUACUGGGCGUAAAGCGCGUGUAGGCGGGCGAAUAAGUCGGGUGUGAAAUCCCUGGGCUCAACCUAGGAACUGCAUCCGAAACUGUUCACCUGGAGUGAUGGAGAGGAAGGCGGAAUUCCCGGUGUAGAGGUGAAAUUCGUAGAUAUCGGGAGGAACACCAGUGGCGAAGGCGGCCUUCUGGACAUUUACUGACGCUGAGACGCGAAAGCGUGGGGAGCAAACAGGAUUAGAAACCCUAGUAGUCC
This 273-nucleotide ribosomal RNA is filed under the name uncultured prokaryote. RNAcentral's name for it is "partial 16S ribosomal RNA". It matches the Rfam family "Bacterial small subunit ribosomal RNA", at positions 524 to 796 of the family's 1533-position model. The record is from RNAcentral.